CAAUAGCGUAUAUUAAAGUUGUUGCGGUUAAAAAGCUCGUAGUUGGAUUUCGGGCGGGAAUGGCCGGUCCGCCGUUUCGGUGUGCACUUGCUACGCCCACCUUGCUGCCGGGGACGUGCUCUUGAGUUCACGCUCGGGACACGGAGUCGGCGAGGUUACUUUGAGUAAAUUAGAGUGUUCAAAGCAGGCCUACGCUCUGAAUACAUUAGCAUGGAAUAACACGAUAGGACUCUGGCCUAUCUUGUUGGUCUGUAGGACCGGAGUAAUGAUUAAGAGGGACAGUCGGGGGCAUUCGUAUUUCAUUGUCAGAGGUGAAAUUCUUGGAUUUAUGAAAGACGAACUACUGCGAAAGCAUUUGCCAAGGAUGUUUUCAUUAA
RNAcentral lists this ribosomal RNA (377 nucleotides) under uncultured eukaryote. RNAcentral describes it as "partial 18S ribosomal RNA". It matches the Rfam family "Eukaryotic small subunit ribosomal RNA", at positions 592 to 976 of the family's 1831-position model. The record is from RNAcentral.